AAUCAACGCUGGCGGCGUGCCUCAGACAUGCAAGUCGAACGAUUAAAGCUCUCUUCGGAGAGUGCAUAGAGUGGCGCACGGGUGAGUAACACGUAAGUAAUCUACCUUCGAGUGGGGAAUAACAGUCGGAAACGACUGCUAAUACCGCAUAAUGCAGCGGCAUCGCAAGAUGACAGUUGUUAAAGGAGCAAUUCGCUUGAAGAGGAGCUUGCGGCAGAUUAGCUUGUUGGUAAGGUAACGGCUUACCAAGGCUACGAUCUGUAACCGGUCUAAGAGGACGGUCGGUCACACUGACACUGAAUAACGGGUCAGACUCCUACGGGAGGCAGCAGUCGGGAAUUUUGGGCAAUGGGCGAAAGCCUGACCCAGCAACGCCGCGUGAA
This 383-nucleotide ribosomal RNA is filed under the name uncultured bacterium. Its description in RNAcentral is "bacterial SSU rRNA". It matches the Rfam family "Bacterial small subunit ribosomal RNA", at positions 32 to 405 of the family's 1533-position model. The record is from RNAcentral.